Molecule: ribosomal RNA, 419 nt
Filed under: uncultured ammonia-oxidizing beta proteobacterium
Lineage: Bacteria; Pseudomonadati; Pseudomonadota; Betaproteobacteria
Description: bacterial SSU rRNA
Rfam family: Bacterial small subunit ribosomal RNA
Source: RNAcentral
UGGAGGAAAGCAGGGGAUCGUAAGACCUUGCGCUUUUGGAGCGGCCGAUGUCUGAUUAGCUAGUUGGUGGGGUAAUGGCCUACCAAAGCUUCGAUCAGUAGCUGGUCUGAGAGGACGGCCAGCCACACUGGGACUGAGACACGGCCCAGACUCCUACGGGAGGCAGCAGUGGGGAAUUUUGGACAAUGGGCGCAAGCCUGAUCCAGCCGUGCCGCGUGAGUGAAGAAGGCCUUCGGGUUGUAAAGCUCUUUCAGCCGGGAAGAAAAGGCUGCGACUAAUAAUCGCAGUUCAUGACGGUACCGGAAGAAGAAGCACCGGCUAACUACGUGCCAGCAGCCGCGGUAAUACGUAGGGUGCGAGCGUUAAUCGGAAUUACUGGGCGUAAAGGGUGCGCAGGCGGUUUUGUAAGUCAGAUGUGA